This 459-nucleotide ribosomal RNA is filed under the name uncultured bacterium. RNAcentral describes it as "partial 16S ribosomal RNA". It matches the Rfam family "Bacterial small subunit ribosomal RNA", at positions 338 to 795 of the family's 1533-position model. The record is from RNAcentral.
CCUACGGGUGGCAGCAGUGAGGAAUAUUGGUCAAUGGGCGCGAGCCUGAUCCAGCCACGUCGCGUGAAGGAAGACUGCCCUCCGGGUUGUAAACCUCUUUUAUAAGGAAUAAAGUGAGGCACGUGUGCCUUUUUGUCUGUACUUUAUGAAUAAGGAUCGGCUAACUCAGUGCCAGCAGCCGCGGUAUUACGUAGGAUCCGUGCGUUAUCCGGAUUUAUUGGGUUUAAAGGGAUCGGAGAUGGGGUGUUAAGUCAGUGGUGAAAGUUUGCGGGUCAACCGUAAAAUUGCAAUUGAUACUGGCAGUCUUGAGUACAGUAGAGGUAGGCGGAAUUCGUGGUGUAGCGGUGAAAUGCUUAGAUAUCACGAAGAACUCCGAUGGCGAAGGCAGCUUACUAAACUGCCACUGACAUUGAUGCUCGAAAGUGUGGGUAUCAAACAGGAUUAGAUACCCUAGUAGUC